CGUGAGAUAGCGGGAAUUUAUUAAUUCGCUAGGAAUUAGGUAAUUAGAAAUAAUUGGAAGGUGUUUUUCUGGUUCUGUUCCUAAUUGUGCAACUUGAACAAGUCACUUCUGAGUAUCAGCGACCUUAAGUCCUCGUUUAAAAUCUCGCGGUGGCUCCCCCUUGCCCCUGUGACUCCUGGACCCUUGCCUGGAUCGUAACCGUCAUCUUUCUCUCUUCGUUUAUUCACACCCUCUGCGGCAGGUGUCCCGACUUCUCUCAUUGUCUUCUCCACUCCUCUGUUCUUCCUUCCGCCUGAGCCACCCUGCUGUGAAAUCCCUGAGGCCUACGGAGGAGUACUGAGAUGGCCCCAAGUGAGCUCUUCACUGACAGCUCCAAUUGCCAACCUUUGCUUGGGACGAGAGAAUGUAAACAUCGACAGAACAGCAGCCCUAUGACCACAUGAGGACUUUCCCAUCAGUUCCAGUGGAUGAGGAAUUUGUGAGCUUUGAAGGGGCCUGAAGAUUUUUUGUGGAUGGAAGGCCGGAAGUGCGGUUAGAGGGCAGCAAAUUCAAGUCCUGGACGAGGUUUUGCAGUUGGCAUGCUUAUCCGCGAGCCGGCUGGAGGGCCCUUGUUCCCAUUGUUGAUAACAGCUAAAGCUUCAGAAACAAGAUCCAGUGCCGGUGGAUGGAAAGAAAGGUCUU
Long non-coding RNA from Ailuropoda melanoleuca (giant panda), 681 nucleotides. RefSeq lists it as uncharacterized. The record is from RefSeq and is a predicted model, not a curated record. The transcript is spliced from 5 exons. NCBI's taxonomy places the organism in Eukaryota, Metazoa, Chordata, Mammalia, Carnivora, Ursidae.